GGUUUCGGAGGUUUCAACUCAUCAACCCUGUGACAUACCUAUAACGUUGCCUCGGCGGGAACAGACGGCCCCGUAACACGGGCCGCCCCCGCCAGAGGACCCCCUAACUCUGUUUCUAUAAUGUUUCUUCUGAGUAAACAAGCAAAUAAAUUAAAACUUUCAACAACGGAUCUCUUGGCUCUGGCAUCGAUGAAGAACGCAGCGAAAUGCGAUAAGUAAUGUGAAUUGCAGAAUUCAGUGAAUCAUCGAAUCUUUGAACGCACAUUGCGCCCGCCAGUAUUCUGGCGGGCAUGCCUGUUCGAGCGUCAUUACAACCCUCAGGCCCCCGGGCCUGGCGUUGGGGAUCGGCGGAAGCCCCCUGCGGGCACAACGCCGUCCCCCAAAUACAGUGGCGGUCCCGCCGCAGCUUCCAUUGCGUAGUAGCUAACACCUCGCAACUGGAGAGCGGCGCGGCCACGCCGUAAAACACCCAACUUCUGAAUGUUGACCUCGAAUCAGGUAGGAAUACCCGCUGAACUUAAGCAUAUCAAUAAGCGGAGGAA
RNAcentral lists this ribosomal RNA (542 nucleotides) under Fusarium solani. RNAcentral describes it as "eukaryotic LSU rRNA". The stretch from base 155 to 308 matches the Rfam family "5.8S ribosomal RNA". The record is from RNAcentral. Lineage: Eukaryota; Fungi; Ascomycota; Sordariomycetes; Hypocreales; Nectriaceae.